RNAcentral lists this ribosomal RNA (373 nucleotides) under uncultured bacterium. RNAcentral's name for it is "bacterial SSU rRNA". It matches the Rfam family "Bacterial small subunit ribosomal RNA", at positions 525 to 896 of the family's 1533-position model. The record is from RNAcentral.
ACGUAGGUACCGAGCGUUAUCCGGAUUUACUGGGCGUAAAGCGUGUUCAGGCGGUCUAGCAAGUCGGGCAUGAAAUCUCUGGGCUCAACCCGGAGGGGUUGUCCGAUACUGCUGGGCUUGAGGGCAGCAGAGGGUGGUGGAAUUCCGGGUGUAGUGGUGAAAUGCGUAGAUAUCCGGAGGAACACCAGUGGCGAAGGCGGCCACCUGGGCUGUACCUGACGCUCAAACACGAAAGCUAGGGGAGCGAACGGGAUUAGAAACCCCGGUAGUCCUAGCCGUAAACGAUGUUGACUAGGUGUCGACGGUCUAAACCCCGCCGGUGCCGGAGCUAACGCACGAAGUCAACCGCCUGGGGACUACGGCCGCAAGGUUA